AGUCCUGUAGCUCAGUGGUCAGAGUAUCUCUCUUACAAAGAGAAAGUCGUGAGUUCGAUUCUCACCAGGACUACCA
Molecule: transfer RNA, 76 nt
Filed under: Phormidesmis sp. RL_2_1
Lineage: Bacteria; Bacillati; Cyanobacteriota; Cyanophyceae; Leptolyngbyales; Leptolyngbyaceae
Description: tRNA-Val
Rfam family: tRNA
About the family: Transfer RNA (tRNA) molecules are approximately 80 nucleotides in length.
Source: RNAcentral